UAGCCGCGUAAUACCAGCUCCCCGAGUGGUGGGGAUGAUUAUUGGGCCUAAAGCGUCCGUAGCCGGCUUGGCAAGUCUUCCGUUAAAAUUCGACGAUUUUAAAUCGUCGGACUGCGGGAGAUACUACCAAGCUAGGGGGCGGGAGAGGCCGGCGGUAGUCCCGGGGUAGGGGUGAAAUCCUAUAAUCCCGGGAGGACCACCAGUGGCGAAGGC
RNAcentral lists this ribosomal RNA (213 nucleotides) under uncultured archaeon. RNAcentral describes it as "partial 16S ribosomal RNA". It matches the Rfam family "Archaeal small subunit ribosomal RNA", at positions 462 to 673 of the family's 1478-position model. The record is from RNAcentral.